GAGUUGUUCCUUCCUACAUGCAAAUAUUGUGCAUCUGCUGAAGAUUUUUGUGUCAAUGAAGGGAUCAUUGCGGCUCGUAAGGGAGGCUGAAAAAGUGUCAAGGUGGUUUUUGCUAUUCCAUAAGCAAUUGUUCUGUGGCUGCUAAAGAUUUCUGAGACACUGUGACUUAGAAGAGACUCCAAAAAGAAAAGGUUUAUGAAGAACUGGAUACGAAUGAUAUUUUAUAUAGAAAGUCCAAUGCUCUUGGAAAGCUUUUCAUUUAUUUAUAUUUUAUAUUUCUAAACUGCCCAUCUUCCUCAGAAGAGUGGUCCGUUCUUCUUCUUUAAUCUGAAAGGAUGUUUGGGCCAUUUUGGGUCCAGAGGAUAAUCUGCCGACGUAGGGGUGGAGACAUGGACGGCGUACAUCUUGACGGCUAAGGAUGGACAUUUUGCCACGACUUUUGGGCCUAUUUCUCCAUGAGAUAUUCAUUUGCCGAUCUACUACGACUGCGAGGUUCCCCCGCCUCGCAGGAAUGGCCCUCCAAGCUAUCGAGGGCUUACCUUAACGAAGGGUCUUGGGACCCAGAGAGGUGGCAUGCGGCUAAGAAGAAUUUGUGGGGUUUUUUAAAUAGUUUUUUA
Molecule: long non-coding RNA, 617 nt
Organism: Ahaetulla prasina
Lineage: Eukaryota; Metazoa; Chordata; Lepidosauria; Squamata; Colubridae
Exons: 3
Source: RefSeq, a predicted model, not a curated record